Salvelinus namaycush (lake trout) is the source of this 2145-nucleotide long non-coding RNA. RefSeq lists it as uncharacterized. The transcript has 3 exons. Lineage: Eukaryota; Metazoa; Chordata; Actinopteri; Salmoniformes; Salmonidae. The record is from RefSeq and is a predicted model, not a curated record.
UUGAUGUAUUUGGCUAAGGUGUAUGUAAACGUCCGACUUCAACUGUAUAUUUCUGCAUAGUAAACACUGUGUACAAUCUGAAGCCCAAUAACCUGCUGCUGGAUGAGAAUGGGCUGCUGGAUGAGAAUGGGCUGCUGGAUGAGAAUGGGCUACUGGAUGAGAAUGGGCUGCUGAAGCUGUCUGAUUUUUGUUUGACUAAAACUUUGGGCAGCCCUACAGUCUACACUCACCUGUGGUGUCGUUCUCCAGAGUUGUUGUUCGGUGCCAGGAUGUAUGGGGAGGGCGUCGACAUGUGGGCCGUGGGCUGCGUCCUUGCGGAGCUUCUGCAGGUACACACACCAUAAGCUCAGGCCAAUUUAAACAUUGAGACGAGACAAAACAAGUGUGUCUGUAGAAUGGCACUGAAACUAGGCAGCUCAAUUUAACUUUGUUCUGAAAUUGUCUUGUCUCUGUGAUUUAAAAAGAAAUCUAGACUGAGCAUCAAGGUUCAGACUACUGUAUUGUCAGACACACACCUUUCUGUAUACAUAAUUCUGCAUCCCAAAUGGCAAGCUAUUCCCUGUAUAGCGUCCUACUUUUGACCAGGGCACAAGGACUCUGGUCAAAAUUUGUACAAUAUGUAGGGAAUGUGGUUGCCAUUUGAGACUCCACCCAUGUUCACUACAUGUCUGUGGUGUAACACCCUCUGUUUCUCUCUUGUUACCAUUCCUAGGAGGAGACUCCUGGCCUGUGAGUGUCUGUCUUUUCUGUGUCUGCAUGUGUGGUUAAUUUAAGACUAAGCAACGCCUUGAAAAUAUCUGGGUCCUCAAUAAUACAUUGUGAAUUUAAAUAAUGCCUUCAUGUCUCUAACUCUGUGCCUCUCUCUCUCUCUGUAGGGGAUGAGUAGUUGUUUAAAUAGUUUUCUGGUACUCUGGAACAUAUCUUCAGUGCUGCAGGAGACGACCUCUUCGAACGACUACAGGGUCUAUUCACCUUCAACCCCUCCACACGCCUUACAGCUACACAGCUCUACCCCCAUCUCCUCUCAACAGCCUCUGAGGGUGAGGUACAUCACUAACAGCCCCAGCUGCCCCAGCACAACUCCUCGUCCGAGCCUCUCAAAGAGAAUCAAGAGGAAACGAGAUGGUCUGGAGACAAGGAAUGAACAACACAGACACACACGCACAUCUCAGCAUUGGAAUCAAUAGCACAGACAUCAUUAUUCCAUCAUACACCAGAGCUAGAAGGUUAAAUACCUCAUUGACAUGUUUGUGUUUGACCAUGAGAUUAAUGACAACAUGGUAAAUAUUAUUCUGCUUGCUUAUUUAAACUGAUGAUUUCGCUUGUACAAAGGAUUCAAUGACUGGUUUCCAAUUUUGGAUUGGGCCAGCAAGGGCCUCCCGUACCUAGAAUGCAAACAUAUUUUUGUACUGUGACCAUGUUAUCAGAAGUAACCUCGUCAAUUAAACACAAAUAUUCUCACACACUGUUAGAGUAAGAUGGUCUACUCGUAUAGAACUGGAAUUCCAUUAGAAUCAGAGCCCAGUAAUUAAAAGGAUGUAGGCGGUACAAAAUAGCGCAAUAGCAACCCAGGACUAACACACACACACACAGGUGUAGGUGGCGGUACGUUUAACUGCAACAAAAACCGAGUGUUACUGGGAGGUUCAACGUGUGGUUUGGGAACUAUUUAGGUCGACUGGGUUGUAUAUUAUAAUAAUAAAGAAGAAAUUGAUACUCUGAUAGGGAUAUAGAGGGCAUUUGCUUCAAUGGAGAAACAUGACCAGUCUUGCUGUUAAACUUCCAGUAUGGUUCAUUGGACUAGGUAGCUAGAAGUUGCCCCUAAACAGUGGUCCAUGGUCAGGUUUUUUAAAAUCCUCCUAAUGGUUAAAGUUUAGUGUUGAAUAAUGUUAUUCUAAACCUGUGGUUAGUGGCAACGUCUAACUCCAGUGUGGUUCGUGUGGUCCAGUGGAAGACCUCCAGUGUGGUCUAACAGUGGUUCUGGACAGAGCUCUGUAAGAGCCUGCUAGAGCACGACUAUUUAGGUGACGAAAGAAAAAAACAGCAAGACUAUUUUUGUCAUUCAUUUCAUACAUUUAGAUGUAAUGUAAUAUUGUCAUGAUUCAUUUCAUACAUUUAGAUGUAAUGUAUUUUUGUAUGUUAUUU